GGUUAAGCGACUAAGCGUACACGGUGGAUGCCCUGGCAGUCAGAGGCGAUGAAGGACGUGCUAAUCUGCGAAAAGCGUCGGUAAGGUGAUAUGAACCGUUAUAACCGGCGAUGUCCGAAUGGGGAAACCCAGUGCAAUUCGUUGCACUAUCGUUAACUGAAUACAUAGGUUAACGAGGCGAACCGGGGGAACUGAAACAUCUAAGUACCCCGAGGAAAAGAAAUCAACCGAGAUUCCCCCAGUAGCGGCGAGCGAACGGGGAGCAGCCCAGAGUCUGAAUCAGCUUGUGUGUUAGUGGAACGGUCUGGAAAGUCCGACGGUACAGGGUGAUAGUCCCGUACACCAAAAUGCACAGGCUGUGAACUCGAAGAGUAGGGCGGGACACGUGGUAUCCUGUCUGAAUAUGGGGGGACCAUCCUCCAAGGCUAAAUACUCCUGACUGACCGAUAGUGAACCAGUACCGUGAGGGAAAGGCGAAAAGAACCCCGGCGAGGGGAGUGAAAAAGAACCUGAAACCGUGUACGUACAAGCAGUGGGAGCACCUUCGGGUGUGACUGCGUACCUUUUGUAUAAUGGGUCAGCGACUUAUAUUCUGUAGCAAGGUUAACCGUAUAGGGGAGCCGCAGGGAAACCGAGUCUUAACUGGGCGUUAAGUUGCAGGGUAUAGACCCGAAACCCGGUGAUCUAGCCAUGGGCAGGUUGAAGGUUGGGUAACACUAACUGGAGGACCGAACCGACUAAUGUUGAAAAAUUAGCGGAUGACUUGUGGCUGGGGGUGAAAGGCCAAUCAAACCGGGAGAUAGCUGGUUCUCCCCGAAAGCUAUUUAGGUAGCGCCUCGUGAAUUCAUCUUCGGGGGUAGAGCACUGUUUCGGCUAGGGGGUCAUCCCGACUUACCAACCCGAUGCAAACUACGAAUACCGAAGAAUGUUAUCACGGGAGACACACGGCGGGUGCUAACGUCCGUCGUGAAGAGGGAAACAACCCAGACCGCCAGCUAAGGUCCCAAAGUCAUGGUUAAGUGGGAAACGAUGUGGGAAGGCACAGACAGCCAGGAUGUUGGCUUAGAAGCAGCCAUCAUUUAAAGAAAGCGUAAUAGCUCACUGGUCGAGUCGGCCUGCGCGGAAGAUGUAACGGGGCUAAACCAUGCACCGAAGCUGCGGCAGCGACACUAUGUGUUGUUGGGUAGGGGAGCGUUCUGUAAGCCUGCGAAGGUGACCUGUGAGGGUUGCUGGAGGUAUCAGAAGUGCGAAUGCUGACAUAAGUAACGAUAAAGCGGGUGAAAAGCCCGCUCGCCGGAAGACCAAGGGUUCCUGUCCAACGUUAAUCGGGGCAGGGUGAGUCGACCCCUAAGGCGAGGCCGAAAGGCGUAGUCGAUGGGAAACAGGUUAAUAUUCCUGUACUUGGUGUUACUGCGAAGGGGGGACGGAGAAGGCUAUGUUAGCCGGGCGACGGUUGUCCCGGUUUAAGCAUGUAGGCUGGUUAUCCAGGCAAAUCCGGAUAAUCAAGGCUGAGGUGUGAUGACGAGGCACUACGGUGCUGAAGUAACAAAUGCCCUGCUUCCAGGAAAAGCCUCUAAGCAUCAGGUAACAUCAAAUCGUACCCCAAACCGACACAGGUGGUCAGGUAGAGAAUACCAAGGCGCUUGAGAGAACUCGGGUGAAGGAACUAGGCAAAAUGGUGCCGUAACUUCGGGAGAAGGCACGCUGGUGUGUAGGUGAAGUCCCUGCGGAUGGAGCUGAGACCAGUCGAAGAUACCAGCUGGCUGCAACUGUUUAUUAAAAACACAGCACUGUGCAAACACGAAAGUGGACGUAUACGGUGUGACGCCUGCCCGGUGCCGGAAGGUUAAUUGAUGGGGUUAUCCGUAAGGAGAAGCUCUUGAUCGAAGCCCCGGUAAACGGCGGCCGUAACUAUAACGGUCCUAAGGUAGCGAAAUUCCUUGUCGGGUAAGUUCCGACCUGCACGAAUGGCGUAAUGAUGGCCAGGCUGUCUCCACCCGAGACUCAGUGAAAUUGAACUCGCUGUGAAGAUGCAGUGUACCCGCGGCAAGACGGAAAGACCCCGUGAACCUUUACUAUAGCUUGACACUGAACAUUGAGCCUUGAUGUGUAGGAUAGGUGGGAGGCUUUGAAGCGUGGACGCCAGUCUGCGUGGAGCCAACCUUGAAAUACCACCCUUUAAUGUUUGAUGUUCUAACGUUGGCCCCUGACCGGGGUUGCGGACAGUGUCUGGUGGGUAGUUUGACUGGGGCGGUCUCCUCCCAAAGCGUAACGGAGGAGCACGAAGGUUAGCUAAUCCUGGUCGGACAUCAGGAGGUUAGUGCAAUGGCAUAAGCUAGCUUGACUGCGAGCGUGACGGCGCGAGCAGGUGCGAAAGCAGGUCAUAGUGAUCCGGUGGUUCUGAAUGGAAGGGCCAUCGCUCAACGGAUAAAAGGUACUCCGGGGAUAACAGGCUGAUACCGCCCAAGAGUUCAUAUCGACGGCGGUGUUUGGCACCUCGAUGUCGGCUCAUCACAUCCUGGGGCUGAAGUAGGUCCCAAGGGUAUGGCUGUUCGCCAUUUAAAGUGGUACGCGAGCUGGGUUUAGAACGUCGUGAGACAGUUCGGUCCCUAUCUGCCGUGGGCGCUGGAGAAUUGAGGGGGGCUGCUCCUAGUACGAGAGGACCGGAGUGGACGCAUCACUGGUGUUCGGGUUGUCAUGCCAAUGGCACUGCCCGGUAGCUAAAUGCGGAAGAGAUAAGUGCUGAAAGCAUCUAAGCACGAAACUUGCCCCGAGAUGAGUUCUCCCUGAGACUUUAAGUCUCCUGAAGGAACGUUGAAGACGACGACGUUGAUAGGCCGGGUGUGUAAGCGCAGCGAUGCGUUGAGCUAACCGGUACUAAUGAACCGUGAGGCUUAACCUU
This 2902-nucleotide ribosomal RNA is filed under the name Klebsiella pneumoniae. Its description in RNAcentral is "23S ribosomal RNA". It matches the Rfam family "Bacterial large subunit ribosomal RNA". RNAcentral also lists the same sequence under 1 other name. The record is from RNAcentral. Lineage: Bacteria; Pseudomonadati; Pseudomonadota; Gammaproteobacteria; Enterobacterales; Enterobacteriaceae.